Molecule: non-coding RNA, 27 nt
Filed under: Homo sapiens (human)
Lineage: Eukaryota; Metazoa; Chordata; Mammalia; Primates; Hominidae
Source: RNAcentral
UGACAAUGCUGGUGUCUCUAAGGGAGC